Molecule: long non-coding RNA, 768 nt
Filed under: Trifolium pratense (red clover)
Lineage: Eukaryota; Viridiplantae; Streptophyta; Magnoliopsida; Fabales; Fabaceae
Description: long non-coding RNA (TPRA_LNC009095)
Source: RNAcentral
AGAGAGAGGUUAGAGAGAAAAAAGUUAGAGAGAGGUUUGAGGGAUAAGUGAAGUUCCCAAACAAAAACAUUUAUAGUGACUAAAACAAAAUAUCUCUAUAAUUAUAAAGAUUAAAAAUAUAUUUAAUUUUUUUUUUAUCAAACAAGAAAAGAACAUGGAAAAGCAUCAACAUGAAGAAUUUGACAUCCCACUAUAUUUGUAUCUCAUAUAAGCACAAUCAUCUCCACCACUCUCAGAAAAGGAUGGUAUAUAUGUAGUUUGUUUUAAGUAAUCAUAUACGAAUGAUUUUUUUUCUUUACAAUGUUAUUGUUUAAAAUUUAAAAUAAUCCACAAAUUUAUGAACGCUAAAUAGUCACUUGAGUUAAACCAAUUAAUCAAUGGAGGCUCACUCUCCAUUCAAGAGAAAUGUGAAUGGAAUUGUAUAAAAAAUCUAACCUAUGACAAUAUUGAAACAUAGUAUUAGAGUUUAUUGUUUUUUCAACUUUUUUUUUUGACAAACAAUAUUUUUUCAACUUAAACAUCACAAAUAUUAGAAUCAGAUUUAAAAUUCUUUAGUGAUAGGAUUAAAAUGAAGGCCAUGGUGAAACAUAAAAUCAAGAUAGAAGACAAUUUAACUAUAAUAUUUAGUGUCUUAUUUCUUUUAUGUUUACAAUACAAAGCUAUAGUUUAAAGGUAAAUUUACGAACUGAAAGAUAAAAAUAAAAUUAUUCAGUGGUAACACAAUUAUUGAAGAGAUUAUCUACUCUCUUGAAUUUGAUACCCACUCUU